This is a long non-coding RNA of Meriones unguiculatus (Mongolian gerbil), 1063 nucleotides long. RefSeq lists it as uncharacterized. Lineage: Eukaryota; Metazoa; Chordata; Mammalia; Rodentia; Muridae. The record is from RefSeq and is a predicted model, not a curated record. The transcript is spliced from 8 exons.
GCGCGGCGUGCUCCUCCGGGCAGGGCUGUCCGCAUGCUUCCGUCGCCGGCUCAUUCCUGUGGCACCGUCCUCUCGCCGCAUUCACAUUGUGCUACGGAAGAUCUGUGCAACGGCUCUGCAAACAAGCACCAACAAUGUAUCUACAUACCUAUCGGGGUCAUGUUUCCACCGAUGGUGUUGGUUGCUGACGACUGCUGAGAACCACAUCCCAGUGACAAGGAAGCACACAGAAGUUUGACUCUUCAAACGGUUGACAUCUUGACCUUGAGGAAAAAAGUCUGCAUCAAUUGAAUGAAAACUAAUCGAUGAAGUCGCCACAAGUCAAGGUGGUCGUCACAAUUUCACAUUCCUAGGGAUUCUCCUGCGUGUGGUUGCCCAGCUAUGGCUCCAUUCUGACGUCCCUUAUGAAUAAGCAAAUGCUUCCUCCUUCAACAGAUGGAACAAAUACAGAGACUCACAAUAAGACAUUACACACAGAAAGAGACCUUGGAACACGUGGCUCUCCUCAGAGCACAGGGGACCCUUUGGAAGAGAAGAUCCAGAUGUAGAACUCUCAAUUUCUUCGGCAUCAUGUCUGCUUGUGUGUUGCUAUGUUCGCUGCCAUGAUGGAAAUUGACUAAAACUCUAGAAGGCUUCUUUAGUUCUCAGAAGAAGAAGAAAACAGGAAACAAGCUAGAAACCCACCAUGGAGGGCCUCUGAAAGGCUCCGCCCUGCAGACUAUCAAAGCAGAUUUUAUGAUAGUAAGUGUAGAAAACUGUUUAAAAAUCAGAAAAAGCAGUACAAAACAAAACAAAAACCGCGGAGGAUGGGGUAAAGCCAUAAUCUCACAACAGAGAGGAUGAGCCUUUGUAGUAUUGUGGUGCAUUCUUUCUCAAAAUGUUGACUUAGUCUGAAAUUCAGUUCUCUAAGGUAAGAUAGAAUUUUUUUUGAUACUAAUAAAUGUAACUCUCUUAUCCUUUCUGUGAAGCUUUGUGGGUCUCGAUAAAUGCUUUUUAUAAAUCAACUCUACUUUGACUAUCUAAAGCUGGUUUUCAGCUGAGAAAAAUAAACGAAUUUUUUUGA